CCUACGGGUGGCAGCAGUGAGGAAUAUUGGUCAAUGGACGAGAGUCUGAACCAGCCAAGUCGCGUGAAGGAUGACUGCCCUAUGGGUUGUAAACUUCUUUUAUAAAGGAAUAAAACGAGGCACGUGUGCCUUUUUGCAUGUACUUUAUGAAUAAGGAUCGGCUAACUCCGUUCCAGCAGCCGCGGUAAUACGGAGGAUCCGAGCGUUAUCCGGAUUUAUUGGGUUUAAAGGGAGCGUAGAUGGGUUGUUAAGUCAGUUGUGAAAGUUUGCGGCUCAACCGUAAAAUUGCAAUUGAUACUGGCAGUCUUGAGUACAGUUGAGGUAAGCGGAAUUCGUGGUGUAGCGGUGAAAUGCUUAGAUAUCACGAAGAACCCCGAUUGCGAAGGCAGCUUACUAAACUGUGACUGACAUUGAUGCUCGAAAGUGUGGGUAGCAAACAGGAUUAGAUACCCUUGUAGUC
Molecule: ribosomal RNA, 460 nt
Filed under: uncultured bacterium
Lineage: Bacteria
Description: partial 16S ribosomal RNA
Rfam family: Bacterial small subunit ribosomal RNA
Source: RNAcentral